Molecule: small RNA, 29 nt
Filed under: Bombyx mori (domestic silkworm)
Lineage: Eukaryota; Metazoa; Arthropoda; Insecta; Lepidoptera; Bombycidae
Description: ovarian small RNA-27332
Source: RNAcentral
UCCCGUAUGGUCUAGUGGCUGGGAUACCU